CCUACGGGAGGCAGCAGUGGGGAAUAUUGCACAAUGGGGGGAACCCUGAUGCAGCGAUGCCGCGUGGAGGAAGAAGGUUUUCGGAUUGUAAACUCCUGUCUUAAAGGACGAUAAUGACGGUACUUUAGGAGGAAGCUCCGGCUAACUACGUGCCAGCAGCCGCGGUAAUACGUAGGGAGCGAGCGUUGUCCGGAAUUACUGGGUGUAAAGGGAGCGUAGGCGGGAUCGCAAGUCAGAUGUGAAAUACAUAGGCUUAACCUAUGGGCUGCAUUUGAAACUGCGGUUCUUGAGUGAAGUAGAGGUAAGCGGAAUUCCUGGUGUAGCGGUGAAAUGCGUAGAUAUCAGGAGGAACACCGGUGGCGAAGGCGGCUUACUGGGCUUUAACUGACGCUGAGGCUCGAAAGCGUGGGUAGCAAACAGGAUUAGAUACCCUGGUAGUC
RNAcentral lists this ribosomal RNA (440 nucleotides) under Arcobacter sp. F2176. RNAcentral's name for it is "bacterial SSU rRNA". It matches the Rfam family "Bacterial small subunit ribosomal RNA", at positions 338 to 795 of the family's 1533-position model. Lineage: Bacteria; Pseudomonadati; Campylobacterota; Epsilonproteobacteria; Campylobacterales; Arcobacteraceae. The record is from RNAcentral.